UGGAUGAUUUCCUUGAUAAGUGAAUUUUGCGAGAUUUAGAGUGAAAUAGUAAGUUACCUCUACCUCAGAAUGGACAAAUAGAUUUAGUGAUGGCACGUGUCUUGUACAUCAUCUAUGCAUUAAUUCUUAUAUGCUUGCUUUUUAUUUCUCCGUGAAAUCUAGCUGUUGCUGGAUCUCGGCUACCAAGGCAUGCAUUCAUAAGCAAGGUUAUGAUCACCUACCGAUUAAAACCUUAAAUGAGUUGGAAAGUGGCCAAGUUCUUACUUGACGUAUUUUUUUCAAGUCUACGUGGGAAAUAACAACAAUAGUGCCAAAAGCACAUAGAAUAAGAUAAAUCCAUGACUCGGCUAAUCGACGGCCAAAAUUUUACUAAAAAAUAAAAAAUAAUGAAAAAAGAUCUGGGGUCAUUAAAGAAUUUUAGAGAAUGUUGAUCAAAGUUGUGCAGCAAAAGUAUGGUGGACUGAGUCUUUUAAAAUCUGUCAAAAAUAUUGAUUUGUGAUUUGAAAUGUGGAGAUUUGAUUUUUCAAUAUAGAAGAAUUAUAUUAAUAAAGAAAGGUGAAUAUUGUUG
This 568-nucleotide long non-coding RNA is filed under the name Phoenix dactylifera (date palm). RNAcentral's name for it is "long non-coding RNA (PDAC_LNC008912)". Lineage: Eukaryota; Viridiplantae; Streptophyta; Magnoliopsida; Arecales; Arecaceae. The record is from RNAcentral.